AUGAGAGAUAAAUUUGUCAAUGUUUAUUAUACUCGUGGCAUGAUUAAAAAACUACAACAUUUAAAACAAGGUAGUGACACUGUAACAAAAUAUUAUGAUGAUUUACGAAGUACCUUGUUGCACUCCUUGUUAGAGGAAAGUGAAGAUGAUUUGAUGGAUAGAUUUUGGGGAGGUUUAAACCGUGAUAUUCAGGAGAUACAAAUUCAUGAAGAGUAUUAUCCUAUGGACCGUUUGUUUCGUCUUGCUUGCAAAGCUGAACAGAAAGUAAAACGGCGUGUUGUCCACAAGGAGAAUAGGAGCAAGGUGCACAUUCCAAGAGAUGAUACGGUUGUUCCUUCAACUACUAGGCAUACUAUGACAACCACGUCCGUGGUUGUGAGGACUACAUCACCUCCACCAUGUGACACAUCACCUUCGAGAGUGCCUACAUCAUCUGAGUUGAUGACAAGAGGUAAUGACAAAGGUACCGAUCUUCCACCUCCACAUGAGUAUUAUGAAUGCCUUGUCAAUUUAAAUGAACCAUGCGAUGAGCUACCCACUAGUUUGAUCACACCAGCUAUUUUAGAGGACUAUGUUUAUGAUUUGACUUUGCCAUGUGAUCAAACACUUUUGAGUGAACCCAUUGAAUUAACUAUUGAUGCGAAAGAACCAUGUGAAUCCGGGAGUACAUGA
Molecule: ribosomal RNA, 672 nt
Filed under: Triticum aestivum (bread wheat)
Lineage: Eukaryota; Viridiplantae; Streptophyta; Magnoliopsida; Poales; Poaceae
Description: partial small subunit ribosomal RNA
Source: RNAcentral